Molecule: ribosomal RNA, 253 nt
Filed under: uncultured bacterium
Lineage: Bacteria
Description: partial 16S ribosomal RNA
Rfam family: Bacterial small subunit ribosomal RNA
Source: RNAcentral
UACGUAGGGUCCGAGCGUUGUCCGGACUUACUGGGCGUAAAGAGCUCGUAGGUGGUUUGUCGCGUUGUUCGUGAAAACUCACAGCUCAACUGUGGGCGUGCGGGCGAUACGGGCAGACUGGAGUACUGCAGGGGAGACUGGAAUUCCUGGUGUAGCGGUGGAAUGCGCAGAUAUCAGGAGGAACACCGGUGGCGAAGGCGGGUCUCUGGGCAGUAACUGACGCUGAGGAGCGAAAGCGUGGGGAGCGAACAGG